RNAcentral lists this long non-coding RNA (382 nucleotides) under Setaria viridis. RNAcentral describes it as "long non-coding RNA (SVIR_LNC000363)". The record is from RNAcentral. Lineage: Eukaryota; Viridiplantae; Streptophyta; Magnoliopsida; Poales; Poaceae.
UCCACCUCAGGCGCCUACAGUUGAUCAUCCAGUUGGGCCAAUCACUCGGGCCCGUGCGAGAGAAUUAAACUUCGUCAUGCUGUUAAGGAAUGAAGGUCCAGCGGAAUAAGAAGAUGGCCCAACAGGGCAGCCCAGGUGGGGCGCCAAGGGUUGGGAGCCACGGCCCUCCCCCUGGUCGCGUGCGCCCCCCUCCUGCUAUGGCGCCUCCUCCGGACUCCAGGGGCUGCGCCCCCUUUAUUUAGUCGGAGUCCCUUUUGUUUACAACUUGAGUUUUGUUUUACAUCUAGCUUUAGCUACUCUCGAACACGCGCAAAUACGCGCUAUCCUCGUGUGAUUCAAAACUCCACCUUCGAGUAAUAUUGAGAUUGCUCGCGUCUUUUUC